Non-coding RNA from Corynascus novoguineensis, 107 nucleotides. NCBI's taxonomy places the organism in Eukaryota, Fungi, Ascomycota, Sordariomycetes, Sordariales, Chaetomiaceae. The record is from the annotation of a GenBank genome assembly.
GGCAAGGUGGCCGAGCGGUCCAAGGCGCCACGUUAAGGUAUUCAAAAUCCUUAAUCCCGAUAUCCGUGGUCUCGAAAGGGGCGUGAGUUCGAAUCUCACCCUUGUCA